Molecule: ribosomal RNA, 764 nt
Filed under: uncultured Nitrospirota bacterium
Lineage: Bacteria; Pseudomonadati; Nitrospirota
Description: bacterial SSU rRNA
Rfam family: Bacterial small subunit ribosomal RNA
Source: RNAcentral
AGAGUUUGAUCCUGGCUCAGAACGAACGCCGGCGGCGUGCCUAACACAUGCAAGUCGAACGGAGUUAAUCAGCAGCACAGAGCUGAUAAGCCGACAGGCUGGCAAGCGAACAAGCAAGGGAAACAGAAGACUUUAAGGUAUGAAGCUUUUGGGUCUGAUAGCUUGCAAGCCUGCUUGCUGGGGAGCUUGAAAGCUGUGUGCUGUUGAUUAACUUAGUGGCGGACGGGUGAGUAACACGUAGGUAACCAACCCUCAAGCGGGGGACAACAUCGGGAAACCGGUGCUAAUACCGCAUAAGCUCACGGACUGGGAUGUCUGGGAGAAAAGGAGCAAUUCACUUGAGGAUGGGCCUGCGGCCUAUCAGGUAGUUGGCGGGGUAACGGCCCACCAAGCCUAAGACGGGUAGCCGGACUGAGAGGUUGAACGGCCACACUGGAACUGAGACACGGUCCAGACUCCUACGGGAGGCAGCAGUGGGGAAUUUUGCGCAAUGGGGGAAACCCUGACGCAGCGACGCCGCGUGGAGGAUGAAGGUCUUCGGAUCGUAAACUCCUUUUGUCGGGGAAGAUAAUGACGGUACCCGAUGAAUAAGCCACGGCUAACUCUGUGCCAGCAGCCGCGGUAAGACAGAGGUGGCAAGCGUUGUUCGGAAUUACUGGGCUUAAAGGGCGCGUAGGCGGUGGAGUAAGUCUGAGGUGGAAGAUUAGGGCUUAACCCUAAAAUUGCCUUGGAAACUGCAUCACUUGAGUAAGCGAGGGGAUGGC